Molecule: ribosomal RNA, 468 nt
Filed under: uncultured bacterium
Lineage: Bacteria
Description: partial 16S ribosomal RNA
Rfam family: Bacterial small subunit ribosomal RNA
Source: RNAcentral
GACGAACGCUGGCGGCGUGCUUAACACAUGCAAGUCGAACGGAAAGGCCCUGCUUUUGUGGGGUGCUCGAGUGGCGAACGGGUGAGAAACACGUGAGUAACCUGCCCUUGACUUUGGGAUAAUUUCAGGAAACUGGGGCUAAUACCGGAUAGGAGCUCCUGCUGCAUGGUGGGGGUGGGAAAGUUUCGGCGGUUGGGGAUGGCCUCGCGGCUUAUCAGCUUGUUGGUGGGGUAGUGGCUUACCAAGGCUUUGCCGGGUAGCGGGCCUGAGAGGGUGACCGGCCACAUUGGGACUGAGAUACGACCCGGACUCCUACGGGAGGCAGCAGUGGGGAAUAGUGCACAAUGGGCUGAAGCCUGAUGCAGCACCGCCGCGUGCGGGAUGACGGCCUUCGGUUUAUAAUCCGCUUUCGCCUGUGACGAAGCGUGAGUGACGGUAAUGGGUAAAGAAGCACCGGCUAACUACGUG